Molecule: long non-coding RNA, 245 nt
Organism: Neltuma alba
Lineage: Eukaryota; Viridiplantae; Streptophyta; Magnoliopsida; Fabales; Fabaceae
Exons: 3
Source: RefSeq, a predicted model, not a curated record
UAAUGUCAACAAGGGGGAAAAGACUCUUUCUGGUAAAGAUCUUGUGAAGCUGGUGGAAUCGACUCUUUCUAAAGAUGUCCCGCCAUUCCAUACUAAAGGUGGAGAUCUUAAAAGAAAGUACAAGACAUUUCUGUCAAAGAUGUAUCCAGGGCUGCCUGAGGAAUUUACAUUCUGAUGAAGAUGGUCAUAUCUUUAGAUUUAGGUUGUCCUUGUAUCAUCAAAUCAUCAUGUGUCAGAGCUAGUUA